This 465-nucleotide ribosomal RNA is filed under the name uncultured Klebsiella sp. RNAcentral describes it as "bacterial SSU rRNA". It matches the Rfam family "Bacterial small subunit ribosomal RNA", at positions 338 to 795 of the family's 1533-position model. The record is from RNAcentral. Lineage: Bacteria; Pseudomonadati; Pseudomonadota; Gammaproteobacteria; Enterobacterales; Enterobacteriaceae.
CCUACGGGAGGCUGCAGUGGGGAAUAUUGCACAAUGGGCGCAAGCCUGAUGCAGCCAUGCCGCGUGUGUGAAGAAGGCCUUCGGGUUGUAAAGCACUUUCAGCGGGGAGGAAGGCGUUAAGGUUAAUAACCUUGGCGAUUGACGUUACCCGCAGAAGAAGCACCGGCUAACUCCGUGCCAGCAGCCGCGGUAAUACGGAGGGUGCAAGCGUUAAUCGGAAUUACUGGGCGUAAAGCGCACGCAGGCGGUCCGUCAAGUCGGAUGUGAAAUCCCCGGGCUCAACCUGGGAACUGCAUUCGAAACUGGCAGGCUAGAGUCUUGUAGAGGGGGGUAGAAUUCCAGGUGUAGCGGUGAAAUGCGUAGAGAUCUGGAGGAAUACCGGUGGCGAAGGCGGCCCCCUGGACAAAGACUGACGCUCAGGUGCGAAAGCGUGGGGAGCAAACAGGAUUAGAUACCCGUGUAGUC